This 484-nucleotide ribosomal RNA is filed under the name uncultured bacterium. Its description in RNAcentral is "partial 16S ribosomal RNA". It matches the Rfam family "Bacterial small subunit ribosomal RNA", at positions 30 to 507 of the family's 1533-position model. The record is from RNAcentral.
AUUGAACGCUGGCGGCAGGCCUAACACAUGCAAGUCGAGCGGAUGAAGGGAGCUUGCUCCUGGAUUCAGCGGCGGACGGGUGAGUAAUGCCUAGGAAUCUGCCUGGGAGUGGGGGAUAACGUCCGGAAACGGGCGCUAAUCCCGCAUACGUCCUGAGGGAGAAAGUGGGGGAUCUUCGGACCUCACGCUAUCAGAUGAGCCUAGGUCGGAUUAGCUAGUUGGUGGGGUAAAGGCCUACCAAGGCGACGAUCCGUAACUGGUCUGAGAGGAUGAUCAGUCACACUGGAACUGAGACACGGUCCAGACUCCUACGGGAGGCAGCAGUGGGGAAUAUUGGACAAUGGGCGAAAGCCUGAUCCAGCCAUGCCGCGUGUGUGAAGAAGGUCUUCGGAUUGUAAAGCACUUUAAGUUGGGAGGAAGGGCAGUAAGUUAAUACCUUGCUGUUUUGACGUUACCAACAGAAUAAGCACCGGCUAACUUCGUG